GUAACAUAUGUGCGAGUCUAAGAGUUCUAAACUCCAAGGCGAAGUGAAAGCAUGAUGGUUUGAAGAGGUAACUCUGCAAAAAUCGUUCAACCUGGAUAGUAAUUGAAAGGAUUGAAAAAUAGCAUUUAUGUUACGACCCGAAAGAUGGUGAACUAUACUUGGGAAGGACGAAGUCAGAGGAAACUCUGAUGGAGGUUCGAAGGGGUUCUGACGUGCAAAUCGAUCUUCAUACCUGAGUAUAGGGGCGAAAGACUAAUCGAACCAUCAAGUAGCUGGUUCCCUCCGAAGUUUCCCCCAGGAUAGCUGGAACUCAUUUCUGAUUAGUUUUAUCAGGUAAAGCGAAUGAUUAGAAGUUUUGGGGAUGAAACAUCCUCGGCUUAUUCUCAAACUUUAAAUAGGUAAGAUUAUUCAUUUACUUUAGUGUAAUUGAAUAAUUGAAUAAAGAGUUCUUAGUGGGCCAUUUUUGGUAAGUCAGAACUGGCGAUGUGGGAUGAACCAGACGUUGAGAUAAAGUGCCAAAGAUAUCGCUCAUCAGAC
This 537-nucleotide ribosomal RNA is filed under the name uncultured eukaryote. RNAcentral describes it as "eukaryotic LSU rRNA". It matches the Rfam family "Eukaryotic large subunit ribosomal RNA", at positions 675 to 1210 of the family's 3401-position model. The record is from RNAcentral.